This 252-nucleotide ribosomal RNA is filed under the name uncultured bacterium. Its description in RNAcentral is "partial 16S ribosomal RNA". It matches the Rfam family "Bacterial small subunit ribosomal RNA", at positions 524 to 776 of the family's 1533-position model. The record is from RNAcentral.
UACGUAGGCAGCGAGCGUUGUUCGGAGUUACUGGGCGUAAAGGGUGUGUAGGCGGUUUUCUAAGUUUGGUGUGAAAUCUCCCGCUCAACCGGGAGGGUGCGCCGAAAACUGGGAGACUAGAGUGCGGGAUGGGAGAGUAGAAUUCCUGGUGUAGCGGUGAAAUGCGUAGAGAUGUGGAGGAACACCAGUGGCGAAGGCGACUCUUUGGCCUGUAACUGACGCUGAGGCGCGAAAGCGUGGGGAGCGAACAGG